Long non-coding RNA from Solanum tuberosum (potato), 447 nucleotides. RefSeq lists it as uncharacterized. Lineage: Eukaryota; Viridiplantae; Streptophyta; Magnoliopsida; Solanales; Solanaceae. The transcript has 3 exons. The record is from RefSeq and is a predicted model, not a curated record.
AAUAUGCACUGCGUCAAUUCAUUGCUAGGGUUCAAGCUCUUGAAAGUUAAAGAAGGAGAAGGUAACUCAUGAGGAUUUCCAGUUACUUCUAUGUUUCUAUAUUGUUCAGGGAUCAAGAUCACGUUUUCGACUAUGGAAACUUGUAAUAUUCAUCUUCAAAUCUAAAUAUGUACUGCGUCAAUUCAUUGCUAGGGUUCAAGAGACCAACACUUACUUCAAUUCUUGAAAUUGUUUGAAAUUUAAAGAAGGAGAAGGUAACUCAUGAUGAUUUCCAGUUAUUUCUCUGUUUCUAUAUUGUGCAGGGACAAAGAUCAUGGUCUUGACUAUUGAAACUUGUUUCCACGCCACCACCUCAAGAGUCGGUUUAAGAUCUUUGAAGUACCAUUAUGGCAGCGACUAAAUGAAUUCCAGGACAAAGAUCAUGGUCACAAAAUUAUUAUUCUGCAA